UACGAAGGGGGCUAGCGUUGCUCGGAAUUACUGGGCGUAAAGCGCACGUAGGCGGAUUGUUAAGUCGGGGGUGAAAUCCUGGAGCUCAACUCCAGAACUGCCUUCGAUACUGUCGAUCUCGAGUUCGGGAGAGGUGAGUGGAACUGCGAGUGUAGAGGUGAAAUUCGUAGAUAUUCGCAAGAACACCAGUGGCGAAGGCGGCUCACUGGCCCGAUACUGACGCUGAGGUGCGAAAGCGUGGGGAGCAAACAGG
This 253-nucleotide ribosomal RNA is filed under the name uncultured bacterium. RNAcentral describes it as "partial 16S ribosomal RNA". It matches the Rfam family "Bacterial small subunit ribosomal RNA", at positions 524 to 776 of the family's 1533-position model. The record is from RNAcentral.